UACGUAGGGCGCAAGCGUUGUCCGGAAUUAUUGGGCGUAAAGAGCUCGUAGGCGGUCUGUUACGUCCGCUGUGAAAACCCAGGGCUUAACCCUGGGCUUGCAGUGGAUACGGGUAGACUAGAGGCAGGUAGGGGAGAAUGGAAUUCCCGGUGUAGCGGUGAAAUGCGCAGAUAUCAGGAGGAACACCGGUGGCGAAGGCGGAUCUCUGGGCCGUAACUGACGCUGAGGAGCGAAAGCAUGGGGAGCGAACAGG
RNAcentral lists this ribosomal RNA (253 nucleotides) under uncultured bacterium. RNAcentral's name for it is "partial 16S ribosomal RNA". It matches the Rfam family "Bacterial small subunit ribosomal RNA", at positions 524 to 776 of the family's 1533-position model. The record is from RNAcentral.